Molecule: ribosomal RNA, 644 nt
Filed under: uncultured bacterium
Lineage: Bacteria
Description: bacterial SSU rRNA
Rfam family: Bacterial small subunit ribosomal RNA
Source: RNAcentral
AGAGUUUGAUCCUGGCUCAGGACGAACGCUGGCGGUGUGCUUCACACAUGCAAGUCGAACGAGGUAGCAAUACCUAGUGGCGGACGGGUGAGUAACGCGUGGGAAUCUGCCUUAAGAUGGGGGAUAACGGGCCGAAAGGCUCGCUAAUACCGCAUAUGCCGAAAGGUGAAAGGAGUAAUCCGUCUUAAGAUGAGCCCGCGUCCGAUUAGCUAGUUGGUAGGGUAAAGGCCUACCAAGGCGACGAUCGGUAGCUGGUCUGAGAGGAUGAUCAGCCACAAUGGGACUGAGACACGGCCCAUACUCCUACGGGAGGCAGCAGUGGGGAAUUUUACGCAAUGGGGGAAACCCUGACGUAGCGACACCGCGUGAGCGAAGAAGCCCCUUGGGGUGUAAAGCUCUGUCAGCUGGAACGAAAAAAAUGACGGUACCAGCAGAGGAAGCAUCGGCUAACUACGUGCCAGCAGCCGCGGUAAGACGUAGGAUGCGAGCGUUGUCCGGAUUUAUUGGGCGUAAAGAGUUCGUAGGUGGUUUGUCAAGUCUGAUGUUAAAGAUCGGGGCUCAACCCUGGGACUGCAUUGGAUACUGGCAGACUUGAGUGUGGUAGAGGCUAGUGGAAUUCCCAGUGUAGCGGUGAAAUGCGUAGA